This 253-nucleotide ribosomal RNA is filed under the name uncultured bacterium. RNAcentral describes it as "partial 16S ribosomal RNA". It matches the Rfam family "Bacterial small subunit ribosomal RNA", at positions 524 to 776 of the family's 1533-position model. The record is from RNAcentral.
UACGUAGGUGGCAAGCGUUGUCCGGAAUUAUUGGGCGUAAAGCGCGCGCAGGCGGUCCUUUAAGUCUGAUGUGAAAGCCCACGGCUCAACCGUGGAGGGUCAUUGGAAACUGGGGGACUUGAGUGCAGAAGAGGAAAGCGGAAUUCCACGUGUAGCGGUGAAAUGCGUAGAGAUGUGGAGGAACACCGGUGGCGAAGGCGGCAUCCUGGACCGGUAUUGACGCUGAGGCGCGAAAGCCAGGGGAGCAAACGGG